AACGAACGCUGGCGGCGUGGAUUAGGCAUGCAAGUCGAGCGAGAAUCCCGAUAUAGCAAUAUAAAGGGAGGACAGCGGCGAACGGGUGAGUAAUACAAGGGCAAUCUGCCCUCAAGUUGGGAAUAGCCUGCCGAAAGGCGGAUUAAUACCGAAUGUGGUCGUCCCGCGCAUGCGGGACUGUCUAAAGGCGGGGACCGAAAGGCCUGUCGCUUGAGGAUGAGCCCUUGACCUAUCAGCUAGUUGGUGAGGUAACGGCCCACCAAGGCUUACGGGUAGCUGGUCUGAGAGGAUGGUCAGCCACACUGGGACUGAGACACUGCCCAGACUCCUACGGGAGGCUGCAGUCGAGGAUCUUGGACAAUGCGCGAAAGCGUGAUCCAGCGACGUCGCGUGCAGGAUGACGGCCUUCGGGUUGUAAACUGCUGUCUUCAGGGAACAAUGAGCGGGGCGCGAACAGCGCUUCGCCUUGAUGGUACCUGAGAAGGAAGCCACGGCUAACUCUGUGCCAGCAGCCGCGGUAAUACAGAGGUGGCGAGCGUUGUUCGGAUUUACUGGGCGUAAAGGGUGCGUAGGCGGUUUCGUGUGUCGGAUGUGAAAUCUGGAAGCUCAACUUCCAAACUGCAUCCGAAACUACGAGACUGGAGUACGGGAGAGGAAAGCGGAAUUCUCGGUGUAGCGGUGAAAUGCGUAGAUAUCGAGAGGAACACCGGUGGCGAAGGCGGCUUUCUGGACCGAUACUGACGCUGAGGCACGAAGGCCGGGGGAGCAAACAGGAUUAGAUACCCUGGUAGUCCCGGCAGUAAACGUUGUGCACUUGGUGUGAGGGGAGUUAUCCCCCCUCGUGCCGGAGCUAACGCGUUAAGUGCACCGCCUGGGGAGUACGGCCGCAAGGCUAAAACUCAAAGGAAUUGACGGGGGCCCGCACAAGCGGUGGAGCAUGUUGCUUAAUUCGAUGCAACGCGAAGAACCUUACCUGGGCUUGACAUGCAGUGUUCAAUUCCUGAAAGGGAAUGGCCGCAAGGCGAACUGCACAGGUGCUGCAUGGCUGUCGUCAGCUCGUGCCGUGAGGUGUUGGGUUAAGUCCCGCAACGAGCGCAACCCUUGUGAUUAGUUGCCACCGGGUAAUGCCGGGCACUCUAAUCAGACUGCCUGUGAUAAGCAGGAGGAAGGUGGGGAUGACGUCAAGUCAGUAUGGCCUUUAUGCCCAGGGCUGCAAACGUGCUACAAUGAACGGUACAGAAGGAAGCGAGACCGCGAGGUGGAGCCAAUCCCUAAAACCGUUCCCAGUUCAGAUUGCAGUCUGCAACUCGACUGCAUGAAGCCGGAAUCGCUAGUAAAGGCGCAUCAGCUACGGCGCCUUGAAUACGUUCCCGGGCCUUGUACACACCGCCCGUCACAUCAUGAAAGCCGAUUGCACCCGAAGUAGUCGACCGUACCCGCAAGGGGCGUAGGCUCCUAAGGUGUGAUUGGUAAUUGGGAUG
Molecule: ribosomal RNA, 1481 nt
Filed under: uncultured bacterium
Lineage: Bacteria
Description: bacterial SSU rRNA
Rfam family: Bacterial small subunit ribosomal RNA
Source: RNAcentral